RNAcentral lists this long non-coding RNA (749 nucleotides) under Oreochromis niloticus (Nile tilapia). Its description in RNAcentral is "lncRNA (ENSONIG00000028264.1)". The record is from RNAcentral. Lineage: Eukaryota; Metazoa; Chordata; Actinopteri; Cichliformes; Cichlidae.
GGUGCUGCAGGUCGGCUGGCUUUGCGCUGCAGGUCGGCUGGCUCGGUGCUGCAGGUCGGCUGGCUCGGCGCUGCAGGUCGGCUGGCCUGGUGCUGCAGGUCGGCUGGCCCGGUGCUGCAGGUCGGCUGGCUUUGCGCUGCAGGUCGGCUGGCUCGGUGCUGCAGGUCGGCUGGCCUGGUGCUGCAGGUCGGCUGGCUUUGCGCUGCAGGUCGGCUGGCUCGGAGCUGCAGGUCGGCUGGCUCGGAGCUGCAGGUCGGCCACUGUGUGGAUCUGGUGAUAACACCCUUUCAUUGUCGGAUAAAGCUGUCCUAAAGUUGUACGAGUAAUCGAGAGUAGCUAUUGAUACAGUUGUCCCAUUAUGGCUGUGGAACAACUCAGGUCCUGGCAGCAUGACAUUGCAGAGCGGUGCACUCACCUAACCGAAAGUAUUUUUGACAGAUACACGGACGAGGACGAGGCCCUAGACACAACAGAUAUGAUGGAAAUACAAAACCAUGUGCAUCGCCUACGGGCCCUAGUCGAAUACAGCUUGCAGGAUGAGGUGCGAGCCAAAGUGUUACUGUCAGCGGUCCGUGACACUGGUCCCUACUUGUACGAGGACUUGUCGGACCUGGGACCAAGGGGGAAGACAGAACGAAAACUGACACAGUUCAAGUUAACCCGUGCGGCCAAGUGCAUGCUCGACUCCACGCUGCCCACGUUCACAUUCCAUAGUGUCCUCAGGAACCGCAGCCUGCUGGACAUCAUCA